GGAUUCUCUCUAUAGCAUAAAAAGUGGACAGUUUUGAGAUUCCAUCUUGAACAAAUCAGUGCUAGGAAGUUGCGUAGAGGCCAACCAGGAUUAUUUGGAAGAUGACACGGGUCNNNNNNNNNNAAUAGCACCUUUUGCCCAUCACCCUGGCAAGCUUCCCAGUCCUUUAGAUGCCUAAUAGUAGCAUGGGAAUUCGAAGCAAUACAGACCAGAAAGAAUGGCACACCAGCAGUUAAACUUGAGUUACGCCAACCAUUACAAGCUACUGACACAGAAUCUGCCUCUUCUAAAGUAAACCAUUGUGAAGCAGGCUUCAACUCAACAACUGUUACAG
RNAcentral lists this unclassified non-coding RNA (334 nucleotides) under Hevea brasiliensis (rubber tree). The record is from RNAcentral. Lineage: Eukaryota; Viridiplantae; Streptophyta; Magnoliopsida; Malpighiales; Euphorbiaceae.